GCCUUCGUGGUGUAGUGGUUCUGCACGCUGGGCCAGUAUUCCAGAUGUCCUUGGUUCGAUUCCCGGCGAAGGCG
RNAcentral lists this transfer RNA (74 nucleotides) under Stegodyphus dumicola. RNAcentral's name for it is "tRNA-Thr". It matches the Rfam family "tRNA". Rfam says of the family: Transfer RNA (tRNA) molecules are approximately 80 nucleotides in length. Their secondary structure includes four short double-helical elements and three loops (D, anti-codon, and T loops). Further hydrogen bonds mediate the characteristic L-shaped molecular structure. tRNAs have two regions of fundamental functional importance: the anti-codon, which is responsible for specific mRNA codon recognition, and the 3' end, to which the tRNAs corresponding amino acid is attached (by aminoacyl-tRNA synthetases). tRNAs cope with the degeneracy of the genetic code in two manners: having more than one tRNA (with a specific anti-codon) for a particular amino acid; and 'wobble' base-pairing, i.e. permitting non-standard base-pairing at the 3rd anti-codon position. Lineage: Eukaryota; Metazoa; Arthropoda; Arachnida; Araneae; Eresidae. The record is from RNAcentral.